GAUGAACGCUGGCGGCGUGCCUAAUACAUGCAAGUCGAGCGAACAGAUGAGGAGCUUGCUCCUCUGACGUUAGCGGCGGACGGGUGAGUAACACGUGGAUAACCUACCUAUAAGACUGGGAUAACUUCGGGAAACCGGAGCUAAUACCGGAUAAUAUAUUGAACCGCAUGGUUCAAUAGUGAAAGACGGCUUUGCUGUCACUUAUAGAUGGAUCCGCGCCGCAUUAGCUAGUUGGUACGGUAACGGCUUACCAAGGCAACGAUGCGUAGCCGACCUGAGAGGGUGAUCGGCCACACUGGAACUUAGACACGGUCCAGACUCCUACGGGAGGCAGCAGUAGGGAAUCUUCCGCAAUGGGCGAAAGCCUGACGGAGCAACGCCGCGUGAGUGAUGAAGGUCUUCGGAUCGUAAAACUCUGUUAUUAGGGAAGAACAAAUGUGUAAGUAACUAUGCACGUCUUGACGGUACCUAAUCAGAAAGCCACGGCUAACUACGUG
This 497-nucleotide ribosomal RNA is filed under the name uncultured bacterium. RNAcentral's name for it is "partial 16S ribosomal RNA". It matches the Rfam family "Bacterial small subunit ribosomal RNA", at positions 28 to 507 of the family's 1533-position model. The record is from RNAcentral.